This 497-nucleotide ribosomal RNA is filed under the name uncultured bacterium. RNAcentral describes it as "partial 16S ribosomal RNA". It matches the Rfam family "Bacterial small subunit ribosomal RNA", at positions 28 to 507 of the family's 1533-position model. The record is from RNAcentral.
GAUGAACGCUGGCGGCGUGCCUAAUACAUGCAAGUCGAGCGAACAGACGAGGAGCUUGCUCCUCUGACGUUAGCGGCGGACGGGUGAGUAACACGUGGAUAACCUACCUAUAAGACUGGGAUAACUUCGGGAAACCGGAGCUAAUACCGGAUAAUAUCUUGAACCGCAUGGUUCAAUAGUGAAAGACGGUUUUGCUGUCACUUAUAGAUGGAUCCGCGCCGCAUUAGCUAGUUGGUAAGGUAACGGCUUACCAAGGCAACGAUGCGUAGCCGACCUGAGAGGGUGAACGGCGACACUGGAACUGAGACACGGUCCAGACUCCUACGGGAGGCAGCAGUAGGGAAUCUUCCGCAAUGGGCGAAAGCUUGACGGAGCAACGCCGCGUGAGUGAUGAAGGUCUUCGGAUCGUAAAACUCUGUUAUUAUGGAAGAACAAAUGUGUAAGUAACUAUGCUCGUCUUGACGGUACCUAAUCAGAAAGCCACGGCUAACUACGUG